RNAcentral lists this small nuclear RNA (288 nucleotides) under Cavia porcellus (domestic guinea pig). RNAcentral's name for it is "7SK RNA". It matches the Rfam family "7SK RNA", at positions 1 to 251 of the family's 331-position model. From Rfam's summary of the family: 7SK was discovered as an abundant small nuclear RNA in the mid-70s but a possible function has only recently been suggested. Two independent studies have found that 7SK RNA binds the CDK9/cyclin T complex (known as elongation factor P-TEFb). The record is from Rfam by way of RNAcentral. Lineage: Eukaryota; Metazoa; Chordata; Mammalia; Rodentia; Caviidae.
GGAUGUGGGGGCGAUCUGGCUGCAAUAUACGUCACCUCAUUGAUCACCACGGUUGAUUUGGCAGAUCUGGCUGGCUAGGUGGGUGUCCCUCUUCUCCCUCACCACUCCAUGUUCCUCCUCUCCCAUGGAGGAGGACUGUUUCCUUGGCCAAGGGUAUAUAAAUCACUGUACUGCCGUGCUAGAACCUCCUAACAAUCCCAUCAAUAAAUAUGACCACAUUUCCAUGAAGGAGUUGUUGGCAUUUCUACUCAUGUUCCUGAGUCCAAAAGUUUCUUGUUUACUGGUGUA